UACAAAAUGAAUCGGCUUCUUAAGGGUGGUCUGGCUCAUCCCCAACAGAAAGGGGGUGAUGCAAAAUGACAACUUUCGAAACAAUCUAUUUAAUGAUUGCUUUUGGCAUGUUAGUUGCCACGUUGUCAAAGAAAGAAAAAUAGACCUCCCUUGAGCCUCGGAACUUUGGGGAAGGUCUAUCAUCACUUGAAUCCUUAAAGCCAGCCCACUUGGGCCUUCAAUUUGUACCGACCCGGUGGCAGCCGG
Molecule: small RNA, 246 nt
Filed under: Bacillus subtilis
Lineage: Bacteria; Bacillati; Bacillota; Bacilli; Caryophanales; Bacillaceae
Description: BsrG
Rfam family: BsrG
About the family: bsrE, bsrG and bsrH pair through intermolecular interactions with antisense sRNAs.
Source: RNAcentral